GACGAACGCUGGCGGCGUGCUUAACACAUGCAAGUCUAACGGAAAGGCCCUGCUUUUGUGGGGUGCUCGAGUGGCGAACGGGUGAGUAACACGUGAGUAACCUGCCCUUGACUUUGGGAUAACUUCAGGAAACUGGGGCUAAUACCGGAUAGGAGCUCCUGCUGCAUGGUGGGGGUUGGAAAGUUUCGGCGGUUGGGGAUGGACUCGCGGCUUAUCAGCUUGUUGGUGGGGUAGUGGCUUACCAAGGCUUUGACGGGUAGCCGGCCUGAGAGGGUGACCGGCCACAUUGGGACUGAGAUACGGCCCAGACUCCUACGGGAGGCAGCAGUGGGGAAUAUUGCACAAUGGGCGGAAGCCUGAUGCAGCAACGCCGCGUGCGGGAUGACGGCCUUCGGGUUGUAAACCGCUUUCGCCUGUGACGAAGCGUGAGUGACGGUAAUGGGUAAAGAAGCACCGGCUAACUACGUGCCAGCAGCCGCGGUGAUACGUAGGGUGCGAGCGUUGUCCGGAUUUAUUGGGCGUAAAGGGCUCGUAGGUGGUUGAUCGCGUCGGAAGUGUAAUCUUGGGGCUUAACCCUGAGCGUGCUUUCGAUACGGGUUGACUUGAGGAAGGUAGGGGAGAAUGGAAUUCCUGGUGGAGCGGUGGAAUGCGCAGAUAUCAGGAGGAACACCAGUGGCGAAGGCGGUUCUCUGGGCCUUUCCUGACGCUGAGGAGCGAAAGCGUGGGGAGCGAACAGGCUUAGAUACCCUGGUAGUCCACGCUGUAAACGGUGGGUACUAGGUGUGGGGUCCAUUCCACGGGUUCCGUGCCGUAGCUAACGCUUUAAGUACCCCGCCUGGGGAGUACGGCCGCAAGGCUAAAACUCAAAGGAAUUGACGGGGCCCCGCACAAGCGGCGGAGCAUGCGGAUUAAUUCGAUGCAACGCGUAGAACCUUACCUGGGUUUGACAUGGAUCGGGAGUGCUCAGAGAUGGGUGUGCCUCUUUUGGGGUCGGUUCACAGGUGGUGCAUGCCUGUCGUCAGCUCGUGUCGUGAGAUGUUGGGUUAAGUCCCGCAACGAGCGCAACCCUUGUUCACUGUUGCCAGCACGUUAUGGUGGGGACUCAGUGGAGACCGCCGGGGUCAACUCGGAGGAAGGUGGGGAUGACGUCAAGUCCUCAUGCCCCUUAUGUCCAGGGCUUCACGCAUGCUACAAUGGCUGGUACAGAGAGUGGCGAGCCUGUGAGGGUGAGCGAAUCUCGGAAAGCCGGUCUCAGUUCGGAUUGGGGUCUGCAACUCGACCUCAUGAAGUCGGAGUCGCUAGUAAUCGCAGAUCAGCAACGCUGCGGUGAAUACGUUCCCGGG
Molecule: ribosomal RNA, 1343 nt
Filed under: uncultured bacterium
Lineage: Bacteria
Description: 16S ribosomal RNA
Rfam family: Bacterial small subunit ribosomal RNA
Source: RNAcentral